GAUGAACGCUGGCGGCGUGCCUAAUACAUGCAAGUCGAGCGAACAGACGAGGAGCUUGCUCCUUCGACGUUAGCGGCGGACGGGUGAGUAACACGUAGGUAACCUACCUAUAAGACUGGGAUAAAUUCGGGAAACCGGAGCUAAUACCGGAUAAUCUUUCGAACCGCAUGGUUGGAUAGUGAAAGAUGGCUUUGCUAUCACUUAUAGAUGGACCUGCGCUGUAUUAGCUAGUUGGUAAGGUAACGGCUUACCAAGGCAACGAUACGUAGCCGACCUGAGAGGGUGAUCGGCCACACUGGAACUGAGACACGGUCCAGACUCCUACGGGAGGCAGCAGUAGGGAAUCUUCCGCAAUGGGCGAAAGCCUGACGGAGCAACGCCGCGUGAGUGAUGAAGGUCUUCGGAUCGUAAAACUCUGUUAUUAGGGAAGAACAAACGUGUAAGUAACUGUGCACGUCUUGACGGUACCUAAUCAGAAAGCCACGGCUAACUACGUG
Molecule: ribosomal RNA, 497 nt
Filed under: uncultured bacterium
Lineage: Bacteria
Description: partial 16S ribosomal RNA
Rfam family: Bacterial small subunit ribosomal RNA
Source: RNAcentral